RNAcentral lists this transfer RNA (90 nucleotides) under Chloroflexaceae bacterium. RNAcentral's name for it is "tRNA-Ser". It matches the Rfam family "tRNA". Rfam says of the family: Transfer RNA (tRNA) molecules are approximately 80 nucleotides in length. Lineage: Bacteria; Bacillati; Chloroflexota; Chloroflexia; Chloroflexales; Chloroflexaceae. The record is from RNAcentral.
GGGGAGGUCGCAUAGAGGCCUAGUGCGGCGGUUUGCUAAACCGCUAGGGCGGCAACGCCCUCGAGGGUUCGAAUCCCUCCCUCCCCGCCA